CUGGGUGUAGCUCAGUUGGCAAGAGUACGGGCUUUGGAAGCCUGUGGCCGGGGGUUCGAGUCCCUCCACCCAGACCA
This 77-nucleotide transfer RNA is filed under the name Bacteroidota bacterium. RNAcentral describes it as "Bacteroidetes bacterium (hydrothermal vent metagenome) tRNA-Pro". It matches the Rfam family "tRNA". From Rfam's summary of the family: Transfer RNA (tRNA) molecules are approximately 80 nucleotides in length. Their secondary structure includes four short double-helical elements and three loops (D, anti-codon, and T loops). Further hydrogen bonds mediate the characteristic L-shaped molecular structure. tRNAs have two regions of fundamental functional importance: the anti-codon, which is responsible for specific mRNA codon recognition, and the 3' end, to which the tRNAs corresponding amino acid is attached (by aminoacyl-tRNA synthetases). tRNAs cope with the degeneracy of the genetic code in two manners: having more than one tRNA (with a specific anti-codon) for a particular amino acid; and 'wobble' base-pairing, i.e. permitting non-standard base-pairing at the 3rd anti-codon position. The record is from RNAcentral. Lineage: Bacteria; Pseudomonadati; Bacteroidota.